GCAGGCGACCAUGGCGGCGGCGGGGGCUGACAGCGGUACAUGGACUGUAGAUGCCGCCAGUCUGUUCAAACUGAGUCCGUCGUCCUCCCGGAUCCCAGCAUCCCCUAGCAGAAGGAGGCGCAUCCCCUGAAUGCUGUAUGGUCAUGUGCGCGCUGCACACCAUGCUGCUGCUAGACUCGAGGAGGGGGAGGAGCCAGAGGGAAGCACAGAGAGAGACUGCCCAGCGCUGUGUACGGCAUUGAAGAAGCUGAUCCGGACGCAUCACAAGUUGCUUAGUUACCGUCCUGCGACGCGCCGCCGGAUGACGUCACGGGCCGGCAGCAUGAGACCCUGAAUACAGCCCCAAGCAGCGGACGAGUGGGCAUUGGAGUUGUCAUGGUGACGGACUUCAGCCUCAGCUUGAUGACGUCACGGACGGGCGACAUGGGAGCGCUGCCGAGUGUCUGGAUGGUCAGGAUGGCGCCGCUGAGAAGACAACCUGCUGACCUCUCCAGUGACUCAACAGGAGGGCCUGAGGGAUGAAUGCCAACAAGUCUCUCAGGCACCCUCCACUGCCACCAUGGAAGAAAACAUUUCAGUUAUCAGGGAGGCAGUGAAAGGCACCAACAGUUUCUCAGAUUGCCUAAUGGAGUUCUUGGAUAGGGAUUCUGAAGCCAGAAUGCGGGAGACCUCUCUCCUAAACCAAAGACUGGUGGUGCUUAUUGACAUUCUAGCAAACAGACCCUCCACCACUGACCAACCAUCCUCAUGCCCUGGCCCACUUGAUCCCACCUCUUGCAAGGACACAUGAAGAUGGCCCACAAGCCUGCUUACUCCCUCUACGACCUCAGCCUAUUAUGAAGUAUGGGUGCCCCAUGAACUUUUGCCACAUCUUGACCUUUUCUGUACUCCUGACCAUGAAUCUUCCCAUUGCCUCUUUAUUCAGGAUGGCAUUCUUUCUCAUUUUGAUGUGUGGUACUUGUCUAUCCACUAUAUCAUCUUCUGUUGUAUCAUGACAGGUGUUUUCUGACUGUUGUCACAUUGGAGUGUGUGCUUGAGAUUGUUUUAUCUGCAGCAGAAGCAACUGCAACUGUAACCUUCAUUUUCUCUAGACUUGUAAGCAACACACUUUGAUUUACCAUCAACUCAUCCAGAAAGUCUAUGUCUUGUGAAAAUGAAAAAAAUAAUAAUAAAUAAUAA
This is a long non-coding RNA of Pseudophryne corroboree (corroboree frog), 1179 nucleotides long. RefSeq lists it as uncharacterized. NCBI's taxonomy places the organism in Eukaryota, Metazoa, Chordata, Amphibia, Anura, Myobatrachidae. The record is from RefSeq and is a predicted model, not a curated record. The transcript has 3 exons.